RNA transcript from Arachis duranensis, 2393 nucleotides. It is a transcript of the gene named pentatricopeptide repeat-containing protein At1g62670, mitochondrial-like, with no coding region annotated. Lineage: Eukaryota; Viridiplantae; Streptophyta; Magnoliopsida; Fabales; Fabaceae. The record is from RefSeq and is a predicted model, not a curated record. The transcript is spliced from 3 exons.
AGAGCAGAGAGCAGAGAGCACUCCCUCAAACUUAACAGCGAAAGUGCGAAUCACUAAAAUGCUGUCAUCCUCAACCUCAAGGAUCACUUUCAUUUUUAGGUAUUCUCUUCUCCAAAUCCCUAAUUUUGUUUCCUUCCCUUCCUCUUCAUCCCUUCACUCUCAUUCUGAGCCCCCAUCCCUUCGUCAAGUUGAUGAAGCUGUUGAUUCCUUCACUCGCAUGCUCUCUAUGCGUCGCCCUCCAUCCAUCAUCCAAUUCACCAAGAUUUUGGGAUCUCUUGCCAAGACCAACCAUUUCCCCACCGCCAUUUCCCUUUUUCGGCAAUUGCAAGCCAGGGGAAUCGCUCCCAACUUAUUUACUUUGAAUAUCUUAAUCAAUUGUUGCUGCGGCAUGGGUCGUAUGACGCUUGCUUUCUCUGUGUUGGCCAAGAUUUUCAGAAUGGAUUAUCAACCUGAUACGGUAACAUUGACAACAAUCCUGAAAGGUCUCUGUCUCUGUGGUAGUGUUGAAAAAGCAGUGUGCUUUCAUGACAGAGUGCUGGCUCAUGGAUUUCACUUCAACCAAGUCACUUAUGGGACCUUGAUUAAUGGGCUCUGUAAGACCGGACACACAUCAGCUGCUAUUCAACUGCUGAGAAAGAUCCCACGGCAUGGGAUUGUUCCUAAUGUCUUCAUGUACAACUCAAUUAUUGAUAGCCUCUGCAAGGUUACACUUGUAAGUGAGGCUUUUCAUUUAUACUCUGAAAUGCUUGCUAGGGGAAUUUCUCCCGAUGUUAUCACCUACAACACUCUAAUUUAUGGUUUGUGCCUUACGGGCCAACUUAAGGAAGCCAUUGAUUUGUUAAGUGAUAUGGUGCUUAGAAACAUUACUCCUGAUGUUCAUACCUAUAGUAUUUUGAUGGAUGGGCUAUGCAAGGAAGGAAAGAUCAAAGAUGCUAAGAAUGUGUUGGCUGUGAUGACAAAACAUGGUGUGAAACCAAAUGUGGUUACUUAUAACAGCUUAAUGGACGGAUUUUGUUUGGUUAAUCAGGUAAAUAAGGCAAAAUAUGUAUUCAACACAAUGGCCGAGAGUAGAGCGUUUCCUGAUGUUCAGAGUUACAAUAUCAUGAUUAAUGGCUUUUGUAAGAAUCACAUGAUCGAUGACGCCUUGAAUCUCUUUGAAGAGAUGCGUCGCAAGAAUUUAGUUCCUGACACUGUAACUUACAAUACUCUAGUUGAUGGCUUGGGAAAAUCAAAGAGAAUCCUUUGUGCCUUGGAGCUUCUUGAAAAGAUGCACGAUCGAGGUCAACCCGCUAAUAUAGUCACUUACAAUUCUUUGCUGGAUGCUUUGUUCAAUAUCAAACAACAUGACAAGGCACUUAUGUUAUUCAAUCAAAUGAAAGAUUGUGGCAUUGAUCCAGAUAUAUAUACAUACAGCAUACUUAUAGAUGGCCUGUGCAAAAGUGGGAGACUUAAAAAUGCAAAAGUGAUUUUUCAAGAUCUUUCCAUUAAAGGCUGUCGUCCAGACGUGAGGGCAUACACUAUUAUGAUCAAUGGGCUUUGCAAAGAGGGCCUACUUCAUGAAGCAUUGGCUUUCUUGUCAAAAAUGGAAGACAAUGGUUGCUUGCCAAAUGCUGUGACUUACGAAAUAAUCAUUCGUGCUCUAUUUGAAAAAGGUGAAAAUGAUAAUGCGGAGAAACUUCUUCGUGAAAUGAUAUCUAGAGGCCUAUUGCAAGGAUAAAAGUUGGUGAGAUUCUUCUUGUUAGACAUCACAAAAUGUUGUUUAUAUCUCUUUCUUUUUAACUUGUGUUUUGUUACCAUCUUCUAGAUCAUCUUUCCAUUCCAUACUAAUGCUUUUAGAUCUUCACAUGAUUGUGAUUCUUUAUUCUGCUUUACCCACACCUAAGUGUUUUCUUUGUCGUUGCUUAUUUUAUGGCAUUUUCGGUGACUAGAUGGCUGUUAUAUGUGGCUUGAAGGAUCUAUCAUUAUUUCCUUUUUUGUUUUUGUAAUUAUAUAUGUGCAUUGAUGUUAAUUUAUUCCUAAGCUGAAACCGUUGUGAUUUUCAUCAUUCAAAGGGAAUCCUUGUUAGUUGUGAAGCUUCCCUGCACUCUUAUUGUCUUUCGAUCUUUUCAUUUCCCCCAUAUUUAUUCUCUUUUGGGAAAUGAUUGCUAGAGGCUUAUUGAAUGGUUUAUAGAAGGUGCACUGAAGCAUGUUAAGUUGCAGCAUGGGGCAGACAAAAAUUGAACUUCUCCCAAGCAAAUCGGUGGUUCUCAAGUGCCACAAACCAGAGACAAUGUAAGCAUGAGAAGGCUCAAUCAUGGAAUAUGUAUCAAUAACUAAGAUAAGACCAAUACAUUGUUGAUGUUGAAAAGUUAUGAACUACAAUGUGUGGGAAUGAACCAUAUCAAAAGGGUAAA